UGCCCGCAAGGAAAUGUAGUGAGAGGUGCUGCAUGGCUGUCGUCAGCUCGUGUUGUGAAAUGUUGGGUUAAGUCUCGCAACGAGCGCAACCCCUAUCGUCUGUUGCCAGCAUUAAGUUGGGCACUCUGACGAGACUGCCUGGGUUAACCAGGAGGAAGGUGGGGAUGACGUCAAGUCCUCAUGGCCCUUAUGUCUAGGGCUACACACGUAAUACAAUGGCGCGUACAAAGGGAAGCGAACCUGCAAAGGGGAGCAAAUCUCAAAAAGCGCGUCUCAGUUCGGAUUGGAGUCUGCAACUCGACUCCAUGAAGUUGGAAUCGCUAGUAAUCGGAGAUCAGCACGCUCC
Molecule: ribosomal RNA, 346 nt
Filed under: uncultured Peredibacter sp.
Lineage: Bacteria; Pseudomonadati; Bdellovibrionota; Bacteriovoracia; Bacteriovoracales; Bacteriovoracaceae
Description: bacterial SSU rRNA
Rfam family: Bacterial small subunit ribosomal RNA
Source: RNAcentral